RNAcentral lists this ribosomal RNA (253 nucleotides) under uncultured prokaryote. RNAcentral's name for it is "partial 16S ribosomal RNA". It matches the Rfam family "Bacterial small subunit ribosomal RNA", at positions 525 to 777 of the family's 1533-position model. The record is from RNAcentral.
ACGAAGGGUGCAAGCGUUACUCGGAAUUACUGGGCGUAAAGGGUGCGUAGGUGGUUUUUUAAGUCUGCUGUGAAAUCCCCGGGCUCAACCUGGGCACUGCAGUUAGAACUGGCAAGCUAGAGUAGGGUAGAGGGGUGUGGAAUUCCAGGUGUAGCGGUGAAAUGCGUAGAUAUCUGGAGGAACACCGGUGGCGAAGGCGGCAUCCUGGACCGAUAUUGACGCUGAUGCGCGAAAGCCAGGGGAGCAAACGGGA